UAUACACAUGGAUAACAUACUGAAAAGUUUACUAAUACAUGAUAAUAUAUAUUUACGGCAUCGUAGAUAUAUCAAAGUGUUAGCGGUAUAGGAUGGACCCGCGUCUGAUUAGCUAGUUGGUGAGAUAACUGCCCACCAAGGCGACGAUCAGUAGCCGACCUGAGAGGGUGAUCGGCCACAUUGGAACUGAGACACGGUCCAAACUCCUACGGGAGGCAGCAGGA
This 224-nucleotide ribosomal RNA is filed under the name uncultured Peptostreptococcus sp. Its description in RNAcentral is "partial 16S ribosomal RNA". It matches the Rfam family "Bacterial small subunit ribosomal RNA", at positions 132 to 354 of the family's 1533-position model. Lineage: Bacteria; Bacillati; Bacillota; Clostridia; Peptostreptococcales; Peptostreptococcaceae. The record is from RNAcentral.